Molecule: non-coding RNA, 71 nt
Organism: Trichonephila inaurata madagascariensis
Lineage: Eukaryota; Metazoa; Arthropoda; Arachnida; Araneae; Nephilidae
Source: the annotation of a GenBank genome assembly
GUCCCUGUUGCGCAAGCAAUGGAUAACGCAUUGGACUUUUAAUCUAAAGGGUUCGAAUCCCACCUGGGAUG